AACGCGAAGAACCUUACCUGGGCUCGAAAUGCAGAGGACGAUGGUAGAGAUAUCAUUUCCCGAAAGGGUCUCUGCAUAGGUGCUGCAUGGCUGUCGUCAGCUCGUGCCGUGAGGUGUUUGGUUAAGUCCAGCAACGAGCGCAACCCUUAUCGUUAGUUGCCAACGCGUCAAGGCGGGAACUCUAACGAGACUGCCUAGGUUAACUAGGAGGAAGGUGAGGAUGACGUCAAGUCCGCAUGGCCUUUAUGUCCAGGGCUACACACGUGCUACAAUGGUCGGUACAGAAGGCAGCGAAACCGCAAGGUGAAGCAAAUCCCGAAAACCGAUCUCAGUUCAGAUUGUAGUCUGCAACUCGGCUACAUGAAGUUGGAAUUGCUAGUAAUGGCGUGUCAGCAACAACGCCGUGAAUACGUUUCCGGGCCUUGUACACACCGUACGUC
RNAcentral lists this ribosomal RNA (440 nucleotides) under uncultured bacterium. RNAcentral describes it as "bacterial SSU rRNA". It matches the Rfam family "Bacterial small subunit ribosomal RNA", at positions 958 to 1398 of the family's 1533-position model. The record is from RNAcentral.